AACGUAGGUUCCGAGCGUUAUCCGGAUUUACUGGGCGUAAAGCGCGUUCAGGCGGUUUGGCAAGUCGGGCAUGAAAUCUCUCGGCUCAACCGGGAGAGGUUGUCCGAUACUGUUAGACUGGAGGGCAGUAGAGGGUGGUGGAAUUCCGGGUGUAGUGGUGAAAUGCGUAGAGAUCCGGAGGAACACCAGUGGCGAAAGCGGCCACCUGGACUGCACCUGACGCUGAGGCACGAAAGCGUGGGGAGCAAACAGG
Molecule: ribosomal RNA, 253 nt
Filed under: uncultured bacterium
Lineage: Bacteria
Description: partial 16S ribosomal RNA
Rfam family: Bacterial small subunit ribosomal RNA
Source: RNAcentral